Molecule: transfer RNA, 133 nt
Filed under: Podospora comata
Lineage: Eukaryota; Fungi; Ascomycota; Sordariomycetes; Sordariales; Podosporaceae
Also listed under: 2 other names
Rfam family: tRNA
About the family: Transfer RNA (tRNA) molecules are approximately 80 nucleotides in length. Their secondary structure includes four short double-helical elements and three loops (D, anti-codon, and T loops). Further hydrogen bonds mediate the characteristic L-shaped molecular structure. tRNAs have two regions of fundamental functional importance: the anti-codon, which is responsible for specific mRNA codon recognition, and the 3' end, to which the tRNAs corresponding amino acid is attached (by aminoacyl-tRNA synthetases). tRNAs cope with the degeneracy of the genetic code in two manners: having more than one tRNA (with a specific anti-codon) for a particular amino acid; and 'wobble' base-pairing, i.e. permitting non-standard base-pairing at the 3rd anti-codon position.
Source: RNAcentral
GGGAGCUUGGCUCAGUUGGAAGAGCGCAGGUCUCAUAUGAAAAUUGUCAGAUUUGAUGACAAGGAGAAAUAUGAUCUGGUUGCAUAACAUCAGAGUUAUCCUGAGGUCGUGAGUUCGAGCCUCACAGUUCCCA